Molecule: ribosomal RNA, 333 nt
Filed under: Triticum aestivum (bread wheat)
Lineage: Eukaryota; Viridiplantae; Streptophyta; Magnoliopsida; Poales; Poaceae
Description: partial small subunit ribosomal RNA
Source: RNAcentral
AUGGCACAUUUUAUCCCAUGUCAUAAGAGCAAUGAUGCUUCACACAUUGCUGAUCUAUUUUUCAGGGAAGUUGUGCGACUACAUGGAGUACCACGCAAGAUUGUGUCAGACCGUGACACCAAAUUUCUGAGCUACUUUUGGAAGACCUUAUGGGGAAAACUCGGCACCAAGCUCCUAUUUUCCAUGACAUGCCACCCACAAACUGAUGGACAGACUGAAGUUGUCAACCGGACAUUGUCCAUGAUGCUGCGAGCAGUCCUGAAGAAGAAUUUGAAGAUGUGGAAAGAUUGCCUACCUCAUGUAGAGUUCGCUAUAACAGGGCGGUACAUUUGA